UACGUAGGGUGCAAGCGUUGUCCGGAAUUAUUGGGCGUAAAGAGCUCGUAGGCGGUCUGUCGCGUCGGAAGUGAAAACCUGGGGCUUAACCCCGGGCCUGCUUUCGAUACGGGCAGACUAGAGUUCGGCAGGGGAGACUGGAAUUCCUGGUGUAGCGGUGAAAUGCGCAGAUAUCAGGAGGAACACCGGUGGCGAAGGCGGGUCUCUGGGCCGAUACUGACGCUGAGGAGCGAAAGCGUGGGGAGCGAACAGG
Molecule: ribosomal RNA, 253 nt
Filed under: uncultured bacterium
Lineage: Bacteria
Description: partial 16S ribosomal RNA
Rfam family: Bacterial small subunit ribosomal RNA
Source: RNAcentral